This 474-nucleotide ribosomal RNA is filed under the name uncultured bacterium. RNAcentral's name for it is "bacterial SSU rRNA". It matches the Rfam family "Bacterial small subunit ribosomal RNA", at positions 335 to 802 of the family's 1533-position model. The record is from RNAcentral.
ACUCCUACGGGAGGCAGCAGUAGGGAAUUUUCCGCAAUGGACGAAAGUCUGACGGAGCAAUGCCGCGUGAGUGAUGAAGGUUUUCGAAUCGUAAAGCUCUGUUGUAAGGGAAGAAUAGCAAGAAUAGGAAAUGAUUCUUGUCUGACGGUACCUUACCAGAAAGCCACGGCUAACUACGUGCCAGCAGCCGCGGUAAUACGUAGGUGGCAAGCGUUAUCCGGAAUUAUUGGGCGUAAAGCGCAUGUAGGCGGCUUUUUAAGUCUGAUGUGAAAGCCAGUGGCUCAACCACUGAAUUGCAUUGGAUACUGGAAAGCUAGAAUCUUGGAGAGGUAAGUGGAAUUUCAUGUGUAGCGGUGGAAUGCGUAGAGAUCUGAAGGAAUACCGGUGGCGAAGGCGGCCCCCUGGACAGAUACUGACACUCAGAUGCGAAAGCGUGGGGAGCAAACAGGAUUAGAUACCCUGGUAGCUACGAGU